UUGGCGGACGGGUGAGUAACGCGUGGGUAACCUGCCUCACACUGGGGGAUAACAGUUAGAAAUAGCUGCUAAUACCGCAUAAGCGCACGGUUCCGCAUGGAACAGUGUGAAAAACUCCGGUGGUGUGAGAUGGACCCGCGUCUGAUUAGGUAGUUGGUGGGGUAACGGCCUACCAAGCCGACGAUCAGUAGCCGACCUGAGAGGGUGACCGGCCACAUUGGGACUGAGACACGGCCCAG
This 239-nucleotide ribosomal RNA is filed under the name uncultured bacterium. RNAcentral describes it as "partial 16S ribosomal RNA". It matches the Rfam family "Bacterial small subunit ribosomal RNA", at positions 95 to 334 of the family's 1533-position model. The record is from RNAcentral.